Molecule: long non-coding RNA, 715 nt
Organism: Nicrophorus vespilloides
Lineage: Eukaryota; Metazoa; Arthropoda; Insecta; Coleoptera; Silphidae
Exons: 2
Source: RefSeq, a predicted model, not a curated record
UGCAACGCUACCGAAGGUAAUUUGUUGUUGUGUAACAAUUUUAGACAAUUAAAAAUAAACGAAAACCAUUGACGCGUAGUACAAAAACCGGCUGAAUGUUUAUACAUUUAUUUACACCCAGUUUUGUUUUUGUUUUUUUUUUGGAUGAUGCUUCGAAAACGUAACGUCGCGACGGACGAUGUGAUUCGUGUACGAAAGUUGUUUAUGACAAUCAUAAACAAUACAAUAAACUUUUAUUUACUUUGUCCAUUCGAGAAACCUACAUGGAAAAUCUGAAUUGCAAUUUUUAUUCCAACUUUAGACAACUUAUUAAAACGUACCGGUACGUCCCACUGUUUUUUUUUGUUUCUGUUCAUUUUCAAAUGAAUUAAGUUACGAGAUGUUUGUCUUGGCAUUAGUACGUAUCCCAGUUUCGGCCCGCUAAAUCCAACGCAAAUAUUUAGUCUGCAGGUUCACGUGAUGCGGGUGUCAUUUCAAGUACGGGACGUACCGGUACGUCGAUGACACCGGUGGCAAUGGGACAAUUUCCUACUGACUCAACACGGCGUAACGAGUCACUAAUUGGCAAGUGCGGUUUCGCCAUACCGGUACGGAGUUCAAGGUCAAAAUGAACAUUGAUAUCUCUCGCGUUGCCGUGGCGAUUUCGGGGAAACGCGAUAAAAAUCGCGGGCAGCGAAAUUAUGUGACGUGACAGGACGAAAGGUGAACGAAGAAA